AUACGGAGGAUCCGAGCGUUAUCCGGAUUUAUUGGGUUUAAAGGGAGCGUGGGUGGAUUGUUAAGUCAGUUGUGAAAGUUUGCGGCUCAACCGUAAAAUUGCAGUUGAAACUGGCAGUCUUGAGUACAGUAGAGGUGGGCGGAAUUCGUGGUGUAGCGGUGAAAUGCUUAGAUAUCACGAAGAACUCCGAUUGCGAAGGCAGCUAACUAGACUGUUACAGACACUGAUGCUCGAAAGUGUGGGUAUCAAACAGGAUUAGAUACCCUGGUAGUCCACACAGUAAACGAUGAAUACUCGCUGUUUGCGAUAUACAGUAAGCGGCCAAGCGAAAGCAUUAAGUAUUCCACCUGGGGAGUACGCCGGCAACGGUGAAACUCAAAUGAAUUGACGGGG
RNAcentral lists this ribosomal RNA (393 nucleotides) under uncultured bacterium. Its description in RNAcentral is "partial 16S ribosomal RNA". It matches the Rfam family "Bacterial small subunit ribosomal RNA", at positions 523 to 918 of the family's 1533-position model. The record is from RNAcentral.